This 2474-nucleotide long non-coding RNA is filed under the name Pogona vitticeps (central bearded dragon). RNAcentral describes it as "lncRNA (ENSPVIG00000016032.1)". The record is from RNAcentral. Lineage: Eukaryota; Metazoa; Chordata; Lepidosauria; Squamata; Agamidae.
GAGUAACAAAGGUUAAGAACCAGUGGUCUAAAGGACUGGACUUUUCAGGAGUGAAAUAGCAGAAUAUAUCACAGAGAGUGAAUAAUUUUGAGGAGCAGAAGGAAAUUUCCAUUGAUUAUGUCCUUCUGUUACAUUUUUCUCUUUUGAGGUGGUUUGCCUGUUGAAAAGUCAUGGGAAAAGUUUAAACCACAGGAGAUCAUGGUACGAAAGUUUAUGUUAAAAUAUUUGUAUUUAGAUGCAACAAGGUUUUGUUUCCUCAGAUCAACCCACCUUCAAUCCUGGAAGAGGAGGAGGGUGAAGAAGAAGAAGAAGAAGAAGAAGAAGAAGAAGAAGAAGAAGAAGAAGAAGAAGAAGAAGAAGAAGAAGAAGAAGAAGAAGAAGAAGAAGAAGAAGAAGAAGAAGAAGAAGAAAAGGAGGAAGAUUAAUUAUAACAAUACAGUUUCAGCUUCUGGCAAUGCCUGGGCUGGAGCCUUUUCUUAUUAUGACUGAAUUGAUGAUCCCAGAACAACAGUGUGAAAGAAAACAUGAAGUGGUGAAAAAAACGAGGAACCACUUCUUUGCUGAUGAAGAACAGAAGGAGAUUCAGUGCCCUUAGUUUUACUGAAGUAAGGUAAUGGUGCUGAGACCUGCAUUUGAUUUAAUCAACUAAACUCUCAAUUUUUGCAUCAGCUGUUAGGAACUGAGCUAAUUUACAUUACAGCCCCUCACUGAUUGUUGAAAACUAACUACUUUGUCAAACAAAGAGACUACUAAAGGUUUCUUAGAACUCAUAUAAAGAGGAUUUUACAAAAGUCAAUAAUUUGGAGUAGAUCCUAUACAAUAGAUAAUCCACAAAUACACACCCUUGGUAUUUGAUCCUGGGAUAGCAAGAUUGCCAGACCAUCCUUUGCAUAGUUUGGGGGAUACAAUGUUGAAAAUGCCUUCCUUAACUUGCAGGGAUAAGAUCUGGCAGAAGGUUUAACUAAAGGCUGUGGGCUAAACCGCAGAAGCCUGUGCUGCAGGGUCAGAAGACCAAGCAGUCGUAAGAUCGAAUCCACGCGACGGAGUGAGCGCCCGUCACUUAUCCCAGCUCCCGCCAACCUAGCGGUUCGAAAGCAUGCAAAUGCGAGUAGAUUAACAGGGACCACCUCGGUGGGAAGGUAAACAGCAUUCCGUGUCUAAGUUGCACUGGCCAUGUGAUCACGGAAGAUUGUCUUCGGACAAAACGCUGGCUCUAUGGCUUGGAAACGGGGAUGCGCCCCGCCCCCUAGAGUCGAACACGACUGGACAAAAAUUGUCAAGGGGAACCUUUACCUUUACCUUUACCUAAAGAGGGCAAAGUUUCAUUCAGAAAAUCCUUUCUGAAGGCAAAGGUCUGCCUCCAGCAGCUCAUUUUCCCUUAAAGAAUGCAACCCUGGAGAAAUAGGACACAUUGAAAACUCAUUGCUGUUGGCCUCCUGUUAAAAACAAUGGGUCAGUGCUUAGCUUUGCUUGCUCUAUGCACUUAUAUGCAGAAUUGGAUGAAUACUGGAGUAUGUUUUCUUGCAUUUGCACUGCACUAGAUUCCGUUCUCCAUGUUUAUGGAAUCUUAAAGCCAUGGCUGUGGACUCCACAGUGUCGGUACACAUUGCGGUUUCCAUUUUUGGCACAUCACACACAACACACCAUACAUCAUUGGGGUCGCACGCGACACACACGUAGGCAUGAGCUCAGAAUCGUUUGGUUAGUUUUGAAAACUCACAGGAUAUUUGCAGGAUGAGGGAAGCACACAAGUGAGGCAGAAUAGCCCGAAAGUACUGCUGCGAUGGACAAAACUGUCGUUGAAGUCCAUAAAAGACGCAAGCAGAAAUCUAUAGUUAAUCUCCCAAAAUUGGUUGGGUUGUUAACAGUUUAAUAAUUGCACAACACUGCAUGACCAUACGCCAGCAGCUAGCUCUUUGCUAUGUUAACAGCAUUUUUAAUUUGCAGAGUGCAGUGGCCCAGUGCAGGCCGUGCAGUUAUUGAAAUAUAAUCAUUCUCACAAAAAGAAAGCAGACUUGCCGUUUAUUAUGUUUUUGCUAAACUGUAUACGAUUAGUACAGGAGAAAAAGAUUCCUACACUUUCUUAUAAAAGCCUUCAGAAGUGGCUUCUGUGCUUCCAAAUAUCUUACUCUAGAUGAGAUAGAGGAACAAGAAAAUCAGGCAGUAACCCCACAGAAAGAAGGCAUGAAUCCUAAGAGUGUCAAUCUAUGUGUAGACCUGGAAAAGACCAGAGAAGGGAAAGGACUUGGCUAUCUCUCUGGUGAUCUCUCUUCCUUAUGCAAAUCAUUUGCAAUUUGCGUUAGUGGUAUGUUCUAACAGGCUGUACCUUCUUCCCCAUGAAAACAUAGUGAAGUGAAGAAUACUUAAGGAAAUUUAAUUUAUUACUAAGCACCACUAUGAACAGAUUGCAAUUCCUCCAUUUAUUUCAGCGAUCAACAGUUAAGCAUCAAAUAAAGAUCUGGAUGGUUCUGACA